GUGUCGUGACAACACUUCUGCCUACACAAACAGAAGCUACAACAGAGGCAGUGACAAGCAAUGCAGUACAAUCUGCAAUAACAGAGUCAUCACCACCUCAAGUCAUAACAGAAUCUUUAACAACCAAAACUGUGUCAAUAACACCAAGUGAAACAACAGUGUCUUCAUCAGAAACAGCACCACCAACAACAAAAAUAACAUCAUCUAAUGUGAUUUUUACAGCUGCCAAGGCAAAAAGUGCAAAUACUUUAACAUCAACAGGAAAAUCAUCAGCAUUGCCAACAACUGGUUGGGGCACAACCACAGCAGCAACUGCUAAUAAUGAACCAAAAACAACCAAUUCUACACUAACUGAGGUUUCAUCUACUGUUUUAGUUUCUAUGACAGUAGAUACUGUGACAACAACAACAGCUCUAGCAGAGUCUGCUACUGAGACCAAAGCUUCAACCUUUGAACAAGUGACUUCAGCGUUGCCAGUAACAGCACUGGGCUCAACCACAGCAGCAACUGUUACCAAUGAACGAGAAUCAACCAAGAAUACACUAGCUGAGGGUUCAUCUACUAUGUUACAUUCAGUGGCAGUAGAUACAGUCACAACAACAUUGACAACAAGCUUAACAGAGUCUGCUACUGCACCCAAAGCUUCAACCUUGGUACCAGAGACAUCUCAGGUCACAGGAGAAUCAUCAUCAGUCCAAAAGGAAACUACAACAUUAAUGUCAGUUAAGCCAGUAACAGUGGCACAUACCUCAGAAGUCUCCACCACUGUUGAAAGAGUGAAACAAGAACCUACAACACAUGCUGACAAUGGUUCUUCAUCAGCAGGAAUAACUACAUUGAGAGCAUCUGGUACAACAGAAUCAACAUUGGCUUCAACUACAGCAGUACUAAAAACAGAGGGAUCACCACCUUUACCUGAGACAAGUGAUGUAAAGACAACAACUGCAAGAUCAUCCAGAUCUACAGAAUCAACUGCAGAAGCCCCAACAUUGUUGGUACGAACAACAAGUACAACUAAUGCAACAUCAGCAGGAGUGACAUCAGCAUUGACAGCAACUGCACUGGGCUCAACCACAGCAGCAACUGUUAGCAAUGAACCAGAAUCAACCAAGAAUACACUAGCUGAGGGUUCAUCUACUAUGUUACAUUCUGUGGCAGUAGAUACAGUCACAACAACAUCGACAACAAGCUUAACAGAGUCUGCUACUGCACCCAAAGCUUCAACCUUGGUACCAGUGACAUCUCAAGUUACAACAGAAUCAUCAUCAGCCCAAAACGAAACUACAAAAUUAAUUUCAGUGAAACCAGUAACAGUGGUUCAUACCUCAGAAGUCUCCACUACUGUAGAAAGAGUUUCACAAGAAACUACAACACACGCUGACAUUGGUUCUUCAUUAGCAGGAAUAACUACAUUGAGAGCAUCUGGUACAACAGAAUCAACAUUGGCUUCAACUACAGCAGUACUAAAAACAGAGGGAUCAUCACCUUUACCUGAGACAGGUGAAGUAAAGACAACAAUUGCAAGAACAUCUGGAACUACAGAAUCAUCUGCAGAAGCACCAACAUUGUUGGUACGAACAACAAGUGCAACUAAUGCAACAUCAGCAGGAGUGACAUCAGCAUUGACAGCAACUGCACUGGGCUCAACCACAGCAGCAACUGUUAGCAAUGAACCAGAAUCAACCAAGAAUACACUAGCUGAGGGUUCAUCUACUAUGCUGCAUUCUGUGGCAGUAGAUACAGUCACAACAACAUCGACAACAAGCUUAGCAGGGUAUGCUACUGCACCAAAAGCCUCAACCUUGGUACCAGUGACAUCUGAAGUUACAACAGAAUCAUCAUCAGCCCAAAACGAAACUACAAAAUUAAUUUCAGUGAAACCAGUAACAGUGGUUCAUACCUCAGAAGUCUCCACUACUGUAGAAAGAGUUUCACAAGAAACUACAACACACGCUGACAUUGGUUCUUCAUUAGCAGGAAUAACUACAUUGAGAGCAUCUGGUACAACAGAAUCAACAUUGGCUUCAACUACAGCAGUACUAAAAACAGAGGGAUCAUCACCUUUACCUGAGACAGGUGAAGUAAAGACAACAAUUGCAAGAACAUCUGGAACUACAGAAUCAUCUGCAGAAGCACCAACAUUGUUGGUACGAACAACAAGUGCAACUAAUGCAACAUCAGCAGGAGUGACAUCAGCAUUGACAGCAACUGCACUGGGCUCAACCACAGCAGCAACUGUUAGCAAUGAACCAGAAUCAACCAAGAAUACACUAGCUGAGGGUUCAUCUACUAUGCUGCAUUCUGUGGCAGUAGAUACAGUCACAACAACAUCGACAACAAGCUUAGCAGGGUAUGCUACUGCACCAAAAGCCUCAACCUUGGUACCAGUGACAUCUGAAGUUACAACAGAAUCAUCAUCAGCCCAAAACGAAACUACAACAUUAAUUUCAGUGAAGCCAGUAACAGUGGUUCAUACCUCAGAAGUCUCCAUCACUGUUGAAAAAGUGACACAAGAACCUACAACACAUGCUGACAAUGGUUCUUCAUCAGCAGGAACAACUACAUUGAGAGCAUCUGGUACAACAGAAUCAACAUUGGCUUUAACUACAGCAGUACUAAAAACAGAGGGAUCAUCACCUUUACCUGAGACAGGUAAAGUAAAGACAUCAUCCAGAACUACAGAAUCAUCUUCAGAAGCCCCAACAUUGUUGGUACGAACAACAAGUGCAACUAAUGCAACAUCAGCAGGAGUGACAUCAGCAUUGACAGCAACUGCACUGGGCUCAACCACAGCAGCAACUGUUAGCAAUGAACCAGAAUCAACCAAGAAUACACUAGAUAAGGGUUCAUCUACUAUGUUGCAUUCUGUGGCAGUAGAUACAAUCACAACAACAUCGACCACAAGCUUAACAGAGUCUGCUACUGCACCCAAAGCUUCAACCUUGGUAUCAGAGACAUCUCAGGUCACAGGAGAAUCGUCAUCAGUCCAAAAGGAAACUACGACAUUAAUGUCAGUAAAGCCAGUAACAGUGGCACAUACCUCAGAGGUGUUCACCACAGUUGAUAGAGUGAAACAAGAACCUACAACACAUGCUGACAAUGGUUCUUCAUCAGCAGGAAUAACUACAUUGAGAGCAUCUGGAACAACAGAAUCAACAUUGGCUUCAACUACAGCAGUACUAAAAACAGAGGGAUCACCACCUUUACCUGAGACAGGUGAAGUAAAGACAACAACUGCAAAUACAUCCAGAACUACAGAAUCAUCUGCAGAAGCCCCAACAUUGUUGGUACGAACAACAAGUGCAACUAAUGCAACAUCGGCAGUAGUGACAUCAGCAUUGACAGCAACUGCACUGGGCUCAACCACAGCAGCAACUGUUAGCAAUGAACCAGAAUCAACCAGGAACACACUAGCUGAGGGUUCAUCUACUAUGUUACAUUCUGUGGCAGUAGAUACAGUCACAACAACAUCGACAACAAGCUUAGCAGGGUAUGCUACUGCACCAAAAGCCUCAACCUUGGUACCAGUGACAUCUCAAGUUACAACAGAAUCAUCAUCAGCCCAAAACGAAACUACAACAUUAAUUUCAGUGAAACCAGUAACAGUGGCACAUACCUCAGAAGUCUCCACCACUGUUGAAAAAGUGACACAAGAACCUACAACACAUGCUGACAAUGGUUCUUCAUCAGCAGGAACAACUACAUUGAGAGCAUCUGGUACAACAGAAUCAACAUUGGCUUCAACUACAGCAGUACUAAAAACAGAGGGAUCACCACCUUUACCUGAGACAAGUGAUGUAAAGACAACAAUUGCAAGAUCAUCCAGAACUACAGAAUCAUCUGCAAAAGCCCCAAUAUUGUUGGUACGAACAACAAGUGCAACUAAUGCAACAUCAGCAGGAGUGACAUCAGCAUUGACAGCAACUGCACUGGGCUCAACCACAGCAGCAACUGUUAGCAAUGAACCAGAAUCAACCAAGAAUACACUAGCUGAGGGUUCAUCUACUAUGUUGCAUUCUGUGGCAGUAGAUACAAUCGCAACAACAUCGACAACAAGCUUAACAGAGUCUGCUACUGCACCCAAAGCUUCAACCUUGGUACCAGUGACAUCUCAAGUUACAACAGAAUCAUCAUCAGCCCAAAACGAAACUACAACAUUAAUUUCAGUGAAACCAGUAACAGUGGCACAUACCUCAGAAGUCUCCACCACUGUUGAAAAAGUGACACAAGAACCUACAUCACAUGCUGACAAUGGUUCUUCAUUAGCAGGAACAACUACAUUGAGAGCAUCUGGUACAACAGAAUCAACAUUGGCUUCAACUACAGCAGUACUAAAAACAGAGGGAUCAUCACCUUUACCUGAGACAGGUGAAGUAAAGACAACAAUUGCAAGAACAUCUGGAACUACAGAAUCAUCUUCAGAAGCCCCAACAUUGUUGGUACAAACAACAAGUGCAACUAAUGCAACAUCAGCAGGAGUGACAUCAGCAUUGACAGCAACUGCACUGGGCUCAACCACAGCAGCAACUGUUAGCAAUGAACCAGAAUCAACCAAGAAUACACUAGAUAAGGGUUCAUCUACUAUGUUGCAUUCUGUGGCAGUAGAUACAAUCACAACAACAUCGACAACAAGCUUAACAGAGUCUGCUACUGCACCCAAAGCUUCAACCUUGGUAUCAGAGACAUCUCAGGUCACAGGAGAAUCGUCAUCAGUCCAAAAGGAAACUACAACAUUAAUGUCAGUGAAGCCAGUAACAGUGGCACAUACCUCAGAGGUGUUCACCACAGUUGAUAGAGUGAAACAAGAACCUACAACACAUGCUGACAAUGGUUCUUCAUCAGCAGGAAUAACUACAUUGAGAGCAUCUGGAACAACAGAAUCAACAUUGGCUUCAACUACAGCAGUACUAAAAACAGAGGGAUCAUCACCUUUACCUGAGACAGGUGAAGUAAAGACAACAACUGCAAAUACAUCCAGAACUACAGAAUCAUCUGCAGAAGCCCCAACAUUGUUGGUACGAACAACAAGUACAACUAAUGCAACAUCGGCAGUAGUGACAUCAGCAUUGACAGCAACUGCACUGGGCUCAACCACAGCAGCAACUGUUAGCAAUGAACCAGAAUCAACCAGGAACACACUAGCUGAGGGUUCAUCUACUAUGUUACAUUCUGUGGCAGUAGAUACAGUCACAACAACAUCGACAACAAGCUUAGCAGGGUAUGCUACUGCACCAAAAGCCUCAACCUUGGUACCAGUGACAUCUCAAGUUACAACAGAAUCAUCAUCAGCCCAAAACGAAACUACAAAAUUAAUUUCAGUGAAACCAGUAACAGUGGUUCAUACCUCAGAAGUCUCCACCACUGUUGAAAAAGUGACACAAGAACCUACAACACAUGCUGACAAUGGUUCUUCAUUAGCAGGAACAACUACAUUGAGAGCAUCUGGUACAACAGAAUCAACAUUGGCUUUAACUACAGCAGUACUAAAAACAGAGGGAUCAUCACCUUUACCUGAGACAGGUGAAGUAAAGACAACAAUUGCAAGAACAUCUGGAACUACAGAAUCAUCUGCAGAAGCCCCAACAUUGUUGGUACGAACAACAAGUGCAACUAAUGCAACAUCAGCAGGAGUGACAUCAGCAUUGACAGCAACUGCACUGGGCUCAACCACAGCAGCAACUGUUAGCAAUGAACCAGAAUCAACCAAGAAUACACUAGCUGAGGGUUCAUCUACUAUGUUGCAUUCUGUGGCAGUAGAUACAAUCGCAACAACAUCGACAACAAGCUUAACAGAGUCUGCUACUGCACCCAAAGCUUCAACCUUGGUACCAGUGACAUCUCAAGUUACAACAGAAUCAUCAUCAGCCCAAAAUGAAACUACAACAUUAAUGUCAGUAAAGCCAGUAACAUUGGCUCAUACCUCAGAAGUCUCCACCACUGUUGAAAAAGUGACACAAGAACCUACAUCACAUGCUGACAAUGGUUCUUCAUUAGCAGGAAUAACUACAUUGAGAGCAUCUGGUACAGAAUCAAUAGGAUCAACAUUUGCUUCAACUACAGCAGUACUUAAAACAGAGGGAUCAUCACCUUUACCUGUGACAGGUGAAGUAAAGACAACAACUGCAAGAACAUCCGGAACUACAGAAUCAUCUGCAGAAGCUCCAACAUUGAUGGUACGAACAACAAGUGCAACUAAUGCAACAUCAGCAGUAGUGACAUCAGCAUUGUCAGCAACUACAGCCAGGACAACCACAGCAGCAACAAUAACUACAACUGGAGAUGUAGUGACAACAAAAAUAGUUCUAGCAGUGUCUUCUACUGCACCCAAAGCUUCAACCUUGGUAUCAGUGUCAUCAGUAUUGCCAGCAACUGCAUCAGAGACAAAUACAGCAGCUAAUGUUAGCAGUGAACCAGAAUCAACCAAGAAUACAUCAGCUAAGGUUUCACCAACUGUAUUACAUUCUACAACAACAACAACAACAAGGAAGCCAGUAACAAUGUCUCAUACCUCAGAGGUCUCCACCACUGUCAAAAAUGGUACUUUAUCAACAGGACAUACUACAUUGAACAAAUCUGGUACCCCCGAAUCAAGAAUUGCACUGACGACAGUAGCAACAGAGACCACAAACACUGAUCCUCCUACCAUUGACGAGGGAAGCAUACACUUAAGAUUCAGUCUAAAUGAAACUUUCAGAGAAAUAUAUAACAACCGAUCAUCCCCUGAAUUCAUUGCAUUAGCAACACAUGUGGUAACUGUGAUAAACGGAAUUUACAGGGCAAGCGAUCUCAGAGGAUACAGACGAAGCAGAGUCAACUCUUUCACGAGUGGCUCCAUUAAAGUAGACAUGACUCUUAUCUUUGAGAAUUCUUCUAUAGUCCCAAGCUCAUUUGAAGUAGAAGCUAUUCUUAACAUGACCGCUCUGAAUGGUACCAUACCUCUGGACAUCAUACUUGAAACUAUCAAAGCAGGUGAGUGUGUGACGUACAAUACACAAAUUAGCAUGACAAUUAAAUCAUCCGAAUUUCAAAGUUUCACGUGUGUUACACAUUUUUUUAUUACAGGGGAAAUAGUAACUUCUACACCAGUGCCUGUCUCAAAUGUUGAAUCUACCACCACAAAAUACACAUCGAGUACAAAUGGUAUUUUCCAACUAAUACUGUUACAGUGUUAA
Carassius auratus (goldfish) is the source of this 7172-nucleotide long non-coding RNA. Lineage: Eukaryota; Metazoa; Chordata; Actinopteri; Cypriniformes; Cyprinidae. The record is from Ensembl.